RNAcentral lists this ribosomal RNA (513 nucleotides) under Triticum aestivum (bread wheat). Its description in RNAcentral is "partial small subunit ribosomal RNA". The record is from RNAcentral. Lineage: Eukaryota; Viridiplantae; Streptophyta; Magnoliopsida; Poales; Poaceae.
AUGGAGUUACAUCCAUUGGUAGGAUUGAUAAAUCUGGAGAUGGGGAAGUCCGAUCACAGGCCGAUAUGCUUGGACACAAGCUACCUAGCGGGGGUAGCAUCUGAAGCACCGCGACGCGAACGCAGGUUCGAAGCAAGAUGGCUCGCGGAGGAAAUGGUUGAAGAAAUUGUAAAGACCGCCUGGUUGAAAGCAUAUCAUCUUGGGCUGGGGCCCUCGGUCAAGGCAAAGAUGGAAGUUGUCCAUAAUGAUAUGCAUGCAUGGGAUCAGACGGUACUGAAGGGACCUAGAAAUCGGCUGAAGAAAGCUCAGAGGAAAUUGGAAAGUUUGAUGCGUGUUCCCUUCACCGAUGAGGUCAAGAUGAAGCAGAAUGAACUUCGGUACUUAUUGAAAAUCUGCUUGAUUAGGAGGAAGUCCACUGGGCUCAACGAGGCCACAUCAAUUGGCUUCGUCGUGGGGACCGUAACACAAAAUACUUUACCCAGUUUGCUUCUGCGAGGCGAAGGAGAUAUUUAA